UACAGAGGUCCCAAGCGUUGUUCGGAUUCACUGGGCGUAAAGGGUGCGUAGGUGGUGAGGUAAGUCGGAUGUGAAAUCUCCGAGCUCAACUCGGAAAUGGCAUUGGAAACUACCUUGCUCGAGGGUUGGAGGGGGGACUGGAAUGCUUGGUGUAGCAGUGAAAUGCGUAGAGAUGUGGAGGAACACCAGUGGCGAAGGCGACUCUUUGGUCUGUAACUGACGCUGAGGCGCGAAAGCGUGGGGAGCAAACAGG
RNAcentral lists this ribosomal RNA (253 nucleotides) under uncultured bacterium. RNAcentral's name for it is "partial 16S ribosomal RNA". It matches the Rfam family "Bacterial small subunit ribosomal RNA", at positions 524 to 776 of the family's 1533-position model. The record is from RNAcentral.